Molecule: ribosomal RNA, 403 nt
Filed under: uncultured bacterium
Lineage: Bacteria
Description: partial 16S ribosomal RNA
Rfam family: Bacterial small subunit ribosomal RNA
Source: RNAcentral
GACGAACGCUGGCGGCGUGCCUAAUACAUGCAAGUCGAACGCAGUGGGGAUGGGUGAGUAAAAAGUGGGCAACCUCCCAUCAGAGGGGAUAACACUUGGAAACAGCUGCUUACCCGCUAUUGGUGGAUCGACUCGCGGGGCAUUAGCUAGUCGGUGGGGUAACGGCUCACCAAGGCGACGAUGCAUAGCCGACCUGAGAGGGUGAUCAGCCACACUGGAACUGAGACACGGCCCAGACUCCUACGGGAGGCAGCAGUGGGGAAUCUUGGACAAUGGACGAAAGUCUGACCGAGCAAUGCCGCGUGAAUGAAGAAGGUUUUCGGGUCGUAAAGCUCUGUUAGUGGAGAGGCGGUAUUUAACCAGAAAGCCACGGCUAACUCCGUGCCAGCAGCCGCGGUAAUAC